Molecule: ribosomal RNA, 430 nt
Filed under: uncultured bacterium
Lineage: Bacteria
Description: bacterial SSU rRNA
Rfam family: Bacterial small subunit ribosomal RNA
Source: RNAcentral
CAAGACUCCUACGGGAGGCAGCAGUGGGGAAUAUUGCACAAUGGGGGAAACCCUGAUGCAGCGACGCCGCGUGAGUGAAGAAGUAUUUCGGUAUGUAAAGCUCUAUCAGCAGGGAAGAAAAUGACGGUACCUGAUUAAGAAGCCCCGGCUAACUACGUGCCAGCGGCCGCGGUAAUACGUAGGGGGCGAGCGUUAUCCGGAAUUACUGGGUGUAAAGGGAGCGUAGACGGCGAGGUAAGCCUGAAGUGAAAUGCCGGGGCUUAACCCCGAAACUGCUUUGGAAACUGUGCAGAUAGAGUGCAGGAGAGGUAAGUGGAAUUCCUAGAGUAGCGGUGAAAUGCGUAGAUAUUAGGAGGAACUCCAGUGGCGAAGGCGGCUUACUGGACUGUAACUGGCGUUGAGGCUCGAAAGCGUGGGGAGCAAACAGGAU